GAUGAAGAACGUAGCGAAAUGCGAUAAGUAAUGUGAAUUGCAGAAUUCAGUGAAUCAUCGAAUCUUUGAACGCACCUUGCGCUCCUUGGUAUUCCGAGGAGCAUGCCUGUUUGAGUGUCAUUAAAUUCUCAACCUCACCAACUUUGUUGUGUGAAGGCUUGGAUGUGGGGGUUGCAGGUCCGCACUCGUGUGGUCUGCUCCUCUAAAACGUAUUAGUGGGUUAGUCCCCUAAUCUAUUGGUGUGAUAAUUAUCUACGCCGUGGAUUUGGGAGGCUAUCAUAGACCUGCUUCUAACCGUCCUCUGGACAACUUUGACAAUUUUGACCUCAAAUCAGGUAAGACUACCCGCUGAACUUAAGCAUAUCAAUAAGCGGAGGA
This 378-nucleotide unclassified non-coding RNA is filed under the name soil metagenome. RNAcentral describes it as "partial contains 5.8S ribosomal RNA, internal transcribed spacer 2, and large subunit ribosomal RNA". The stretch from base 1 to 120 matches the Rfam family "5.8S ribosomal RNA", at positions 35 to 154 of the family's 154-position model. The record is from RNAcentral.